GCCAAACUCUGAAGUUCUGAUUUAUAAUUUGAAAGAAAAUUAAAGUGGCGACGAGGAUAAAAGUGGAAAGUGAAAGUGAAAUUUGGUAGCAGUGUUUCAUCUUGUCACCAGAGUUUGGGGCAAAAUUUGUCGAUUGAGCGAUUUGUUGAUGGUUGCUGUUUGUGCUCCUGUGGUUGCUGGUAUCUGCUGCUGUUGCUGGUUUUUGCUGCUUUUGCUGAGUGUUUUUGCCUGCCCGAGCCAGAUUUUGGUCGGUCGAUUUGAUUCUCUUUGAUUGAACAACAGAAAAUAAGGUUUCACUCGGCGGUCGAUUGUUUUCCGCCCAUCGACAUCAAUUACGUUUGGUGGAAGAGCCUUUUGAUCGAAAGUCUACAAGAAUUUUAUUCGAUCAGAUCUCACCAGAGUGCCUAGUGAACCAAGAUACCGAAAAUGAUUAUCAACAACAGCAGGCAAUUCAAAGCGACGAAGAAGAUUUUUACGGGUUUGUAUCGGACUCCAAUUUGUUCGAUGCAGCCGUUCGAUCCAGCUCAACUAGUGUUCCAAACAGCCCAGUUGAAAUCGAACAUUCUGAACAUAGCCGACAGGAAAGAAAAUCCGGAACGCGAAAGCGUAGACACCCUCAGACGUCUCCAUUAAGACGAUCGAAACGAAGUAAGAUCAGUAGUAAACGUAGUGAGUUUGUUUAUUUUUGAAUAUAUUAAUACUAUUGAAAUAAGUGAUUGUUCUGAGACAUCAACGAAUUAAGCAUAACAUUGUAGUAUUUUACAUUUGAAUUUAAUCAUUCUAUCAGAAUCUUAAGGGAGGAGAAUUGUAAUAGUUUUAUAUUCGACCACUUGGUUCAAACCCACUAGCGGGCUUGAUAUCAGAAACAAACAACUGUUCUCGAUCAUUCCAAUGUAUUGUUUAUAUAACACUUAAAAGGACUAAUAAAGUGGAACGGAGUGAGUUAGAAGAUGACAGCCAA
Toxorhynchites rutilus septentrionalis is the source of this 961-nucleotide long non-coding RNA. RefSeq lists it as uncharacterized. The record is from RefSeq and is a predicted model, not a curated record. The transcript is spliced from 3 exons. Lineage: Eukaryota; Metazoa; Arthropoda; Insecta; Diptera; Culicidae.